Long non-coding RNA from Stylophora pistillata, 585 nucleotides. NCBI's taxonomy places the organism in Eukaryota, Metazoa, Cnidaria, Anthozoa, Scleractinia, Pocilloporidae. The record is from RefSeq and is a predicted model, not a curated record.
UAGCAAUCACGAAGCAGUACUUCGUUGGCUUUUUAUUCUGGUCAGCUACCCACCACAGGAUAGAAAGGAAAUUGAAAUAUUUCUGUUUAUUAAAAGUCAAUUUCAAAGAUGUCAAACCCAGAGAACAAGGAAACUGCAGCCAAACCCAACUCAGCCGCUGCAGACAGUUAUGGAACGCGUAACGUAGGCGGAGCUGCUGUGUCUAUAAAAAUUAACAAAGCUUACAUCACGUCAAUUUCUGGAAUAUUGAAGAUCGUGGAAUUUAUCCUUUUGUUGUUAGCGUUUUCUAUCGCCGCUGACAUAAACAUAGGAAAUUGGGGACGCAUGAGUUUUUUCCUUUUUGUUACCAUUACUUCGUGGCUUUUUGUAAUCGCCUGGUUUGUGUUAUUCACCUUCAAUUUGCACACAAAGAUCAACCUCAGAAUAAACUGGAACAUUACGGUAAUUUUAAUUAAGCUUUACUUGAUAGAAGGUGUACUUACUCUGGUGAGAUUUCCUUGAAAACUUCAAUGAUUAUCCCUUACAAGUGUAAAUAGAAAAAGAGGAAAAAAUUUUUUCACGUUAAGAAGGCUCAAAAUGGCUUCG